UCCCCUAGUAACUGCGAGUGAAGCGGGAAAAGCUCAAAUUUAAAAUCUGGCGGUCUUUGGCCGUCCGAGUUGUAAUCUAGAGAAGUAAUGCCCGCGCUGGACCGUGUAUAAGUCUCCUGGAAUGGAGCGUCAUAGAGGGUGAGAAUCCCGUCUCUGACACGGACUCCCAGGGCUUUGUGGUAUGCUCUCAAAGAGUCGAGUUGUUUGGGAAUGCAGCUCAAAAUGGGUGGUAAAUUCCAUCUAAAGCUAAAUAUUGGCGAGAGACCGAUAGCGAACAAGUACCGUGAGGGAAAGAUGAAAAGAACUUUGGAAAGAGAGUUAAACAGUACGUGAAAUUGCUGAAAGGGAAACGCUUGAAGUCAGUCGCGUUGACCAGGGAUCAGCCUUGCUUCUUGCAUGGUGUACUUUCUGGUUGACGGGUCAACAUCAAUUUUGACCGCUGGAAAAAGGUUUGGGGAAUGUGGCAGCUUCGGCUGUGUUAUAGCCCCUUGUUGUAUACAGCGGUUGGGAUUGAGGAACUCAGCACGCCGCAAGGCCGGGUUUCGACCACGUUCGUGCUUAGGAUGUUGGCAUAAUGGCUUUAAGCGACCCGUCUUGAAACACGGACCAAGGAGUCUAACAUGCCUGCGAGUGUUUGGGUGGUAAACCCGAGCGCGUAAUGAAAGUGAAAGUUGAGAUCCCUGUCGUGGGGAGCAUCGACGCCCGGACCAGAACUUUUGGGACGGAUCCGCGGUAGAGCAUGUAUGUUGGGACCCGAAAGAUGGUGAACUAUGCCUGAAUAGGGUGAAGCCAGAGGAAACUCUGGUGGAGGCUCGUAGCGAUUCUGACGUGCAAAUCGAUCGUCAAAUUUGGGUAUAGGGGCGAAAGACUAAUCGA
RNAcentral lists this ribosomal RNA (876 nucleotides) under Leucoagaricus virens. RNAcentral's name for it is "Leucoagaricus sp. YM-2022f partial large subunit ribosomal RNA". It matches the Rfam family "Eukaryotic large subunit ribosomal RNA", at positions 76 to 938 of the family's 3401-position model. The record is from RNAcentral. Lineage: Eukaryota; Fungi; Basidiomycota; Agaricomycetes; Agaricales; Agaricaceae.